This 238-nucleotide ribosomal RNA is filed under the name uncultured bacterium. RNAcentral's name for it is "partial 16S ribosomal RNA". It matches the Rfam family "Bacterial small subunit ribosomal RNA", at positions 15 to 236 of the family's 1533-position model. The record is from RNAcentral.
GAUCCUGCUCAGGAUGAACGCUGGCGGCGUGCUUAACACAUGCAAGUCGAGCGAAGCACUUAGGAAAGAUUCUUCGGAUGAUUUCCUAUUUGACUGAGCGGCGGACGGGUGAGUAACGCGUGGGUAACCUGCCUCAUACAGGGGGAUAACAGUUAGAAAUGACUGCUAAUACCGCAUAAGACCACAGCACCGCAUGGUGCAGGGGUAAAAACUCCGGUGGUAUGAGAUGGACCCGCGU